UCUGAUACAAAAGAGAAAAAGAGUUGUGACAGAAAGGUUGAAUGUUAGGAUUCAGUUUCAGAAAGAAAGAAAGAAAGAAAGAAAGAAAGAAAGAAAGAAAGAAAGAAAGAAAGAAAGAAAGAAAGAAAGAAAGAAAGAAAGAAAGAAAGAAAGAAAGAAAGAAAGAAAGGAAGGAAGGAAGGAAGGAAGGAAGGAAGGAAGGAAGGAAGGAAGGAAGGAAGGAAGGAAGGAAGGAAGGAAGGAAGGAAGAAAGAAAGAAAGAAAGAAAGAAAGAAAGAAAGAAAGAAAGAAAGAAAGAAAGAAAGAAAGAAAGAAAGAAAGAAAGAAAGAAAGAAAGAAAGAAAGAAAGAAAGAAAGAAAGAAAGAAAGAAAGAAAGAAAGAAAGAAAGAAAGAAAGAAAGAAAGGAAGGAAGGAAGGAAGGAAGGAAGGAAGGAAGGAAGGAAGGAAGGAAGGAAGGAAGGAAGAAAGAAAGAAAGAAAGAAAGAAAGAAAGAAAGGAAGGAAGAAAGAAAGAAAGAAAGAAAGAAAGAAAGAAAGAAAGAAAGAAAGAAAGAAAGAAAGAAAGGAAGGAAGGAAGAAGAAAGAAAGAAAAAAGAAAGAGAGAG
Molecule: long non-coding RNA, 605 nt
Filed under: Monodelphis domestica (gray short-tailed opossum)
Lineage: Eukaryota; Metazoa; Chordata; Mammalia; Didelphimorphia; Didelphidae
Description: lncRNA (ENSMODG00000029242.2)
Source: RNAcentral